Long non-coding RNA from Gymnodraco acuticeps, 2176 nucleotides. RefSeq lists it as uncharacterized. The record is from RefSeq and is a predicted model, not a curated record. Lineage: Eukaryota; Metazoa; Chordata; Actinopteri; Perciformes; Bathydraconidae. The transcript is spliced from 2 exons.
GUAUUUGCGGUGUGUUCCCGUGCAACACAUGGCCAAGACGCAGGAGAACACCGCGACGCAACAGCCGACGUCGGCGAGUCCUCUGGUGACUGCUUGGUGUGUCAGGGCCUUUACUCUGUCCAAAAGCAACACAUUUGAUCUGCAACCUCCUCCAAAGCUGAUUAAUCAUGUUUAAUCUGUUCAAAUUAAAACAAAAGUCGGGGGUAUGAUGGACUAUGUUUUAGCCACAGGGAAGUUUUAGUGUUGUUACAUCAUGUGCACCCACGAGAGACAAUCCAGAACGCAAAUUAUAACCUUUGGAUUUGAAACUAGGCUAGGCUGGAAGUAGCCUUAUAUUUACCUUGUUGACAUGUUAAUAGUAUUGAUCUUAUCCAUGAACUGUUGGCUAUAACAAAAAAACAUGGAGGUGCAAGAUGUAAAACAUAUGACUCUUGCAGCAAGCAGCUAGUCAAUAGUUGACUUACCAAAGUCUGGACAGAUGGUCCUCCACAGCUAAUAAAAUAAAUGAAGAAAGAUGUGAGUGAGAAGUAAGUGGGGAGCCUAGGAGAAAGAGAAGAGUGAAGGGAAAAGGAAAAGAGCAGCACAAGGACCGACACUGAGUCACACAGCAGGACAGGAAGUCUUACAUGGAGACACCCUUCCUUCCUGUCAGCUCACUGAUCACCAACAGUGGACACCAUUCAGUCUCACAUCACAAGACACAUGGGACAAGUAUUAUGCUGGGUAGUAAUGAGCAUUGCACUUUGUUAAGGAGUUGUACUACUAUGUAUUACCCAUAGUAAAAAGUGCAGCAUCGAGUCAAGCACUCUCACACACACACAACACCAGUCAGUAGGCAAUCUUUUCAGGGAACAGUAGCAUUUUCUCACCUUCUGUUUUCGAUUGAAGUGCCUGUGAUGAUGAAAAAAUACCCAGGAGGUAUAUAUUUUAUCAUUCUCAGUGUUUUAUUUUGGUAAAAGCCUACAGGCAGCAGGAUUAGGACACACUGAAGUCUUAGCAGCCAGACAGUGCAUUUGAGCCCAUUGAUCAGCAAAAUACUUUGUAACCAAGCACAGAGUGCCAAAGGCUGAAAGAGAAAGGAGCAUUGAGUUCCAGAUUUAUAUGAAGCUCCCAUCUGUUAACAUGCUUUUCAGUUAUCUCAUUGUGCCUGUAGCCUAGCAAUACAUUUGCAUAUGAGCAUUAGAUGACUGCAAAUAUAAUUUUGACACCUUCAAAGAAAAAUGAGCGGGAUUUGAUGUAAUUUUCGCAGGCAGACACUGGCUAACUUAGCCCACACCACUAAGUGUGAUCUGUCAUAACAGAGGAAGAUGGCACAUUUGAUACCAUGCAUCAUUGCUCCACUAUUGCACCCAAUAUGGCUGGAGAUGUUGCCACUUCUUAUUUAAGAUACCUUGUUGAGUUAUUGAAAAUGAUUAACACUUUGGAGAAAUGUUUGAUGAGUUUUUUUGUAUGUUGUCUAGCAUGCGCAAUAAGGCCCAGCCAGGAAACAUAGAAGAAGGGCACACGGCAGAGAAGAACAAGUCUGCAAGGCUGAAUAAAGUCCUAAGUAAAACCGUUAACAAAGCAAAGCAGUAGUGGAGCAGGAUACAGAGCCCAGGGAUGUGGGUCAACAGACUGGAGAUUCCCACUGUCACAGGAGACUUCCCCUUCCAUAGCUCCACACAGGAUAUGAGCAAUUUCCUCAGAGCCUAGCUUCUCCAAAAUUCCCAGAAAUAAUUUCAAUGAAGAGGGUCAUAUCUGGGGCAUCUGCUACAUCUACCACAUAGAGUAUGUAUAAUGUAACUUAUGUAUGAUCAUUAUGCUGUUGCAUGUGUGAACAGUUAGCAAUUGUACAUGCAGUUGUGAUUGCACAUGAACACACUCUACUUUGUCAACACAAACAUCUCACAGUGGUUUCACUGAAAAUGAUAGAGCCCAAUGUGUGACUCAUGUUGUAAUAACCUGAUGUCAUGUGUUAGCUGCAGAGGUAUGAAUGUUUGCUCCUGACUUCUGCUGUGUCACGGUCACUUCCUGCUGCAGUGUGUUGGUGUGCGAGACAGAUAUUCUGGGUGGGGCUGUUGUGUAAUUGUACAGGCUAAACUCAGCUGUGCAACACACUGAUUUGUCCAUGCACACUUCCUGUCAUGACCAUAUUUGGAAAAAGUUUCAGAAAGGUAAAUAAACAUGCUUUGAUACC